Long non-coding RNA from Lepidothrix coronata (blue-crowned manakin), 5287 nucleotides. RefSeq lists it as uncharacterized. The record is from RefSeq and is a predicted model, not a curated record. Lineage: Eukaryota; Metazoa; Chordata; Aves; Passeriformes; Pipridae. The transcript has 3 exons.
AUGGCUUGGGCUGAGGCUCCUGUUGACCACCAUGUCGGGCAGACCUUACCACAGGCUGGAUGACUUCCCGCUGAGACCUCUGGCUUUGCAAGCCAGUCUGGCACUUCCACCACCUAACGACAUGAGACAGGGAUGGUGUCACCUGCCUGUUUCAUAGGGGAGUCACAAUGCUUAAUUAACGUAACCAGCAAUAAGGUAGCACCUCACUGCUGUCCUGUCAGUUGGUGAUGUGUGCAGCAGCACAGCUGGAUUGAUGGAGCAAAGCUGGUAACUGAAGUAGCCGUGGCUUGUGCCAGCUAUACUAGGUCCUGGCCCUGCAGGGGAACAGGGGCUGUUUCAAUGCUAAAAGAACAGCCAGAACAGCAGAGAAGCUGCACUGUUAGACAUGCUGCUUUGCAUGUUCCUCUUUCUAGAAAGCAAGGCAUUUGUUGGAAUAGCCCAGCAGACCAACACAUGCUGUAAGAAUAGCUAACUGUUGGUGGGAAAGUUGCCUGGUGCUUCGCUGCAGCACUGAACACCUACUGCUGCUAUCCUGGUUCCCUGUCUAUCCAUUAUUAUCCUGUUUUGAAAUAUUUUGGUUAACGGCCAGGCCAUUGCAUGCUCUCUUGCAGGUAGAAAUUUUGUCCUUUCCCUGUUCUUAACUCACGGAGCUGGGGUUCAAAACUUUUAAAUUGCUUUGCCAGUUCUGCAGAGCAGCCUGUAUUGUCUGAUACUUCAGAUGAAUGUUCCCCCAGUUAUUAACAUGUACCUGCUAAGUUCAUCAGCAGCCUGGGGAUGACUUUUAUCUCUAGAGACAGAGGGAAGUAGCUUGGAAAUUAUACCAUUGUAGUGCCAAUUUUUUUUUUUUUUGUGAUUUUUGAAAACAGCUAAAGAGAUUUGGUAUCUGUGCUUCUGUGCCAUAAGCUAAAUUUGUACUUCAGUAAUGCUUUUGGUUACAAUGAAUUGUGUAUGUGUACCUUGGAAGUAAAAUCUUAUGCUGGUACAAUACUGGAAUGGCUCAAAAACUGGCAGAAUUUGUUUCACUGUUUGCAGGAGGCCGUACUUGGCUGUUAAGCUGGUGCAUCAGGGUGGUCUUGCAGAGUGUCUUCCAACAGAGCUUUGAGAGGAGGCAAAUGACUAAGGCAUGAGUAUGUGUUGCAAAGUGUGUACAUAGAUCAGAUCUGAAGGCUUUGCCUGCAGUUUAGGAAGGCAACUAACACAGGUAUGAAGCUGUGGGGAACUGGAGGGAUGGUGAGACCGGGAGCUGUGACCAGAGCUGCAGCUAUUUACCAUGGCUGUAGAGGUUGAUUUAGGAGACUUUGUGGAGAGAAGAGCAUUGAUACUCCAUGUUGUUUCCUGGGACCAAUGCACGGCUUAGGACUUUAGCAAGGACUUUUCGUCCGACUUUAGCAUUUCAGUGCAACAAACUUCUGAUGUUCUUCUGUACCUCAGGAAGAAGAUGUCUCCCUCCCUGUGGCAGCUGGAUUUUCUUCAUUCCACUUGUGAUACAGAUACAGACAAUUGGCUCCAAAAUGUUAAAGAAAAUCAGGGCACUGUCUUAUGAAUGUAGCUGUUCCUCUGUGGAUGGGACUUAUUCUGGAGUAGAGGAGCCAGCUGUAAAUUUUUUGGCUUUACAGUAGUUUAAACUAAUUUCUCAAGAAUCUAGGUAACUUAAUUGUCGUAGCAGUUGAGAAAAUGCCCUAAAUUAUGGUCAGUUUAGAAAUUCAAAACUUGGAAAUACUGCCUUGUUAUUGUAUUCAAAAUGUUUUCUGUACUGCAUUUCUGUAUGGAGUAAAUAAGCGGUGGAAGGAGAAAAGAAUUGGGGGAAAAUGCAAUAAAUUUAUAACAAAAUGGCAAAACCCAGCUGAAAGCCAUGACAAUCACAUGCAUUACCAUAAAGGAUUUUGUCACCUCUGUCAUGUGCUUUCUUUUCCAAUACCACAGCAUGUCCCCAUCUCACAUUCCAUCUCUGAUGCAAUUUAUCCAUGCAACCAAGAAAUAAUGUUCCCUUCCCUGAGGUACAGGCAAGUCCAGUCAUGGAUUAUAUGCCCUGCUUUCCUCAAGCCACAGCCUCCAGUCAUGUUGGUACAUGGUUUCCCAAUACCAGCCUUGACUUGUCCUUUCCAAGGCUCAGCCACAUGUCCAAAUGGAGGGUAAUCCCCAGCCUCACCCUCUGGCUGCCUCAGUUAUUCUUGAAGGACUUCUCCCAAGUAUAUCCCAGCAGGAUGUGCUGCCCGCCCCUCAGCUGCACAGGUACCUCUGUCUCAGCAAGUGCUGUCUCUCAUUUUGGUCAGAGCUGUAACAGGGGCUCCUCUGAGCUGCAGCAUUCAGUGAUGGGCAAGAGUAUAGUUGGAAAUAACUCAUCUGAAGUAUACUUGUAGAAAAGAUGUAAAGAAAUAGUGUCAAUUCAGUGAUGAGAAGCCUGUAGCCCUUUUAGAUAUGAGAUCAUUCUUACUUGGGGACUCUGUAACACUGUAAAUCGUUUAACUGGUGCUUAACUGAGACUGGAAUCUGACCCCUAAUAUAUGAAAAAUUCCUUAAUUACUAUUAGCAUGGAAAUAAUAGAAAUCAUUAUUUUAAAAUAAUGCUGGCUGAGCUUGCAAAAUUCACAUUCAGAUAGUAAGAAAUGGUAAUUUUAAGUUAAUCAAACAUAAUCAUUCCGCACAAGGGCAUAUCUUACAUUCAGUAAGGCAGGGUUCCUGGGGAAAUUACAAGUGUAAUUAAAACCUGUCUCAUCAUGCAUGCACACAGGGGAGGGCAAGCUGUGAUUGUAAUGGUAACUGCUCCUAGCAGGUGUUUUUCUGUUAAUAUGAGGUAUUAAAUAAAACUUCCCAUGUUUAUUAACCCAAAUACUCUCCUGUAUGCUUCUAACAGUGCCACUGUGAUGUGUUGCAAACAGCCUGAACUUCAACUAAAUCUUUCAGCACAAACUUUUGUCUUCAGAGGUACAAAACUACUUACCUUAGCUGAGACUGUUACAGGAGCCUGGAGCACUGUUGCUGCUGCCAGUUCUUUCGCACUGUGUAGCUCUGGAGGUUGUUAGUUUUCCACGAUGAAGAUCUCAGGCUCAUUACAGCAUGGUGGGGAUCCUCCACAACUUGCGGGGGAGAGGAGAAAACCCUGCCAGAAACACUGUCAUCUGUUGCCUCCAACUGUGAGAGGAUGAAUGUGAUCAACUACGUUUUAAUAAAAGAGAGUCAGAAGGGGAGGAAGCAGAGCUGGAGCUGCGCACCGGCUUUGGACAGUCAGAGCCUGAUGUGUCACUUUAGGAAAGCAAGGUGCUGGGUCUGAAGGAGGGGGAAGCUUGGCUGCACUCUUUCCCUUAUGAUACUUGAUAGUUCCCAGGCAACCCCAGUACUAUGAGACUACAUGAGCUUUUCUAACUUUUAUUUUAAGUUCAUUUGUUAUUUGCUGCCAGAAUUUUCCCAAGGAAUACAGACAAGGAGUGAUAAAUGGUGAUUAAUUUAGACAACCUAAGUAGAGGACUCACAAGGCUCCCCAUGUAAUACAAGAAAGUUAACGGCUUGCUGAUGUCUUUUUCUUAGUGAAUUGUGUAGCCUGGUUGUUUAAUGGAGUGUUUAAAAAUUGUGUUGGCAAUAGCCUAUGAAUAAUGUAUAAUGAAAUACCUUACUGCCAAGAAACUGCUGAUAUGCUGGGGAAAUUUCCAUCAGAUGUGAGAACAAUUUUGAAGGCACUGUCUUCUUGGGAUGCCCUUUAUUUAUAGCCUCACUGCUUCCGAGAUUGCAUUCCCUUUUUAGAUACUGCAUGUGAAGAUGCCCUCCACUGCCUCUGCCUCUGUCUUCCAGCUUCACCUGAUUCGAUUUGCUUGUGUCUGUAAAAGCUCCAGAAUUUUUAUGAGAUUAGGCUUUAUUACCUGAGCACUGUAAGCACAGAAUAUUUCCUGUGCAGUCUUCAUCUGUUCUAGGUGUCUGCAUCAAGGCACACUGCAUCAAAGGAAGAUGGAUGCUGUUUUUGUGUCAUGGCAAUGUCCCAUGAUGCAAGGAAGCAGAAAUAAGGCCAAGUGAUUUGGAAAAAAAAAGAGCAGUUGGACUCUGCAGAGUGAAAUCAACUUUGAUGCCUCUAAAUUUUCCCAUGUCCUCCUCCAGUGCAUGAGGCCUCUGUGUGCUUUGGCCAUGAGUAGAGGGAAGUUGUUGUGAUACUAAGCAACUAAGUCUUGCUUGACCAAAGAAAUGGGAAGGUUGAGAGUAAACCUCUGCUUGCAGAGGAGCUCUGGAUGUUGCACUGCCUUAGGUGCAGGAGGAAACAGGCCUCCUGUUAGACCCCAGGACAUAGCUCAGUCAGGCACAGGAGGCAGUCCCUUUCCUUUGAUCCUUAUUUUGGCCCUCAGCUGCUCUUCAGGAGAAAAUAAAAUCAUAGCUUUGUUUCUCGUGUGAAGUUUUCCCCACCUGCACUGAAAUGCAGAAUUGUAACAGGAGGGCAGGUGAUCACAAUACAUAUGUUAUCAUUGUACAGAGUGUUCUCAGCUAAAUGUAUAUCAAGAGCAGACCCAGCUUGUGGAGCCUGUAGCUCUGUGCCCUGCCCCUACUGUGGCUUUAUUAUGGGUAGCUAAGUGCUCAUGCUACAUUUUUGUGUAUUUACACAAUAGAGCCCUGAGUCAAAACAUUUCCUGCAGUAUGGGUUCUGUAUUAUUACUGUAGUGCUAGAACAAAGCAACACGUGGUUAAUGUUGGUAUUAGUCAGCUGAGGAAAUGACAUCCUCACCUGUGAGGUUGAUGUGACUGGUUUUGAAGUCAUGUGGUGGUGCCAACAGCAAGCUCCAGGCAUGAGGCUACAGGGCAGGAGAAAGAAUGCCUUAGAAGAGAGGUUGUAUCCUUAGGGUGAUCUGCUACUGGCUAAGCAUGAGGAUUUGUGAAAAUGGAAGGGAGGAUUUGCACGUUUUCUGGUUUGUUUGCUGCUGGGAUAUAUCUGGGGGUGGAGUAUUUUCACAGCUCCGGAAAGGUGUAUAAAACGGAUUAGUCUAAACACAAGGUAGGUGUCAAGGAGCACCAGAGGAGUUUGACUGAUGGCCUGAAUGUUUUCAGUAGAACCAAAUAAAGAGAAAAGGUAUCUAAAAUUUCCUCUAAGUCCACCACCCAAACCCCAUCAUGACAGCUGAGAAGUGUUCAGCAGAGACGAUCACAAAGGUCUAGGCUGAGAAUUGUGGUCAAGUUCAAUCAGCAGUUCUCAGGGUAGAAACGCUGCUAGCUGACAGUAUACAUGAAAGAUUAGCUUUCAAAAGGAAGGAGACAAUUCUGUUAUGAAGUUUAUUCCACUGAUGCUUCUGAUGAUCCUAUUAAUUUAUCUUUUU